AUUUAUAUAAUUUAAUUAGAAUAUUGCAUUGAAGCUGCAAAAGUGAGUACCCACUCUGUAAAUG
RNAcentral lists this transfer RNA (64 nucleotides) under Thalamita sima. RNAcentral describes it as "tRNA-Phe". The record is from RNAcentral. Lineage: Eukaryota; Metazoa; Arthropoda; Malacostraca; Decapoda; Portunidae.